CAAUAGCAUAUAUUUAAGUUGUUGCAGUUAAAAAGCUCGUAGUUGGAUUUCGGUUAAGAGCGACCGGUCCGCCGUUUGGUGUGCACUGGUUGGUUUUAACUUCCUGUAGAGGACGUGCUCUGGGUUUAACGACCUGGACUCGGAGUCUACGUGGUUACUUUGAAAAAAUUAGAGUGUUCAAAGCGGGCUUACGCUUGAAUAUUUCAGCAUGGAAUAACACUAUAGGACUCCUGUCCUAUUUCGUUGGUCUCGGGACGGGAGUAAUGAUUAAGAGGAACAGUUGGGGGCAUUCGUAUUUCAUUGUCAGAGGUGAAAUUCUUGGAUUUAUGAAAGACGAACUUCUGCGAAAGCAUUUGCCAAGGAUGUUUUCAUUAA
Molecule: ribosomal RNA, 375 nt
Filed under: uncultured eukaryote
Lineage: Eukaryota
Description: partial 18S ribosomal RNA
Rfam family: Eukaryotic small subunit ribosomal RNA
Source: RNAcentral